RNAcentral lists this long non-coding RNA (1078 nucleotides) under Chrysemys picta bellii (western painted turtle). RNAcentral's name for it is "lncRNA (ENSCPBG00000003045.1)". Lineage: Eukaryota; Metazoa; Chordata; Testudines; Emydidae. The record is from RNAcentral.
AGUCACUAAAAACAGGAUUGGGGACUUCAACAGCAGAGUCCAGGGAAGGGGUAGGGACGGUUUUAUGGCCUGCAGCAUGCAGGGGGUCAGACCAGAUGAUCAUAAUGGUCCCUUCUGACCUUAAAGUCUAUGAGUCUAUGAGAAUGCUUCCGCCGACGUGCACAGGCAGAAAUUGUGGAAAAACAUCGCUUGCCUCAUAACCUAAGUUGUGCAGAACGCAAUGCCAUCCACAGCCUCAGAAACCACCCUGACAUUAUCAUCAAAGAGGCUGAUAAAGGAGGUGCUGUUGUCAUCAUGAACAGGUCUGACUACCAGAAGGAGGUUGCCAGACAACUCUCCAAUACCAAAUUCUACAGGCCACUUUCCUCAGAUCCCACUGAGGAAUACACUAAGAAAUUGCACCAUCUACUCAGGACACUCCCUACACUAACACAGGAACAAAUCAACAUACCCUUAGAGCCCCGACCGGGGUUAUUCUAUCUACUACCUAAGAUCCACAAACCUGGAUAUCCUGGACGCCCCAUCAUCUUGGGCAUUGGCACUCUCACUGAAGGACUGUCUGGAUAUGUGGACUCCCUACUCAGACCCUAUGCCACCAGCACUCCCAGCUAUCUCCGUGACACCACAGAUUUCCUGAGAAAACUACAAUGCAUUGGUGACCUCCCAGAAAACACCAUCCUAGCCACCAUGGAUGUAGAGGCUCUCUACACAAACAUCCCACACACAGAUGGAAUACAAGCUGUCAGGAACAGUAUCCCUGAUGAUGACACAGCACAACUUGUUGUUGAGCUCUGUGACUUUAUCCUCACGCACAAUUAUUUCAAAUUUGGUGACAAUAUAUACCUCCAGACCAGUGGCAUCGCUAUGGGCACCCACAUGGCCCCACAAUAUGCCAACAUUUUUAUGGCUGACCUGGAACAACGCUUCCUCAGCUCUCGUCCACUCAUGCCCCUUCUCUACCUACGCUAUAGUGAUGACAUCUUCAUCAUCUGGACCCAUGGGAAGGAGACCCUGGAAGAAUUCCACCAUGAUUUCAACAGCUUUCACCCCACCAUCAACCUCAGUCUGGACCAAUCUA